This 497-nucleotide ribosomal RNA is filed under the name uncultured bacterium. Its description in RNAcentral is "partial 16S ribosomal RNA". It matches the Rfam family "Bacterial small subunit ribosomal RNA", at positions 29 to 507 of the family's 1533-position model. The record is from RNAcentral.
AGUGAACGCUGGCGGCAUGCCUAACACAUGCAAGUCGAACGGCAGCACAGUAAGCGCUUGCUCUUGCGGGUGGCGAGUGGCGGACGGGUGAGGAAUAGAUAGGAUACCUCUUUGUCGGGGGGGAUAACGUAGGAAAACUUAUACUAAUACAGCAUAUGUCCUACGGGUGGAUGCAGGGGAUCUUCGCACUUUUCGCGUUUGAUAGAGCCGAAGCCGUGCUGCAUUGGCUAGUUGGUAAGGGAACGGCAUACCAAGGCGACGAUGCGUAGCUGACCUGAGAGGGUGAUCAGCCACACUGGAACUGAGACACGGUCCAGACUCCUACGGGAGGCAGCAGUGGGGAAUCUUGCGCAAUGGGCGAAAGCCUGAUCCAGCAAUACCGCGUGGGUGAUGAAGGUCUUCGGGUUGUAAAACCCUGUUGUUGGGAAAGAAAAGAAGUGGGUUAAUCCCCGGCUGUUCUGACGGUACCCAAAGAAUAAGCCCCGGCUAACUUCGUG